Molecule: ribosomal RNA, 429 nt
Filed under: uncultured archaeon
Lineage: Archaea
Description: bacterial SSU rRNA
Rfam family: Archaeal small subunit ribosomal RNA
Source: RNAcentral
AACCAGCUCUUCAAGUGGUCGGGAUAAUUAUUGGGCUUAAAGUGUCCGUAGCCGGUUUAGUAAGUUCCUGGUAAAAUCGGGUAGCUUAACUAUCUAUAUGCUAGGAAUACUGCUAUACUAGAGGGCGGGAGAGGUCUGAGGUACUACAGGGGUAGGGGUGAAAUCUUAUAAUCCUUGUAGGACCACCAGUGGCGAAGGCGUCAGACUGGAACGCGCCUGACGGUGAGGGACGAAAGCCAGGGGAGCGAACCGGAUUAGAUACCCGGGUAGUCCUGGCCGUAAACGAUGCAUACUAGGUGAUGGCACGGCCAUGAGCCGUGUCAGUGCCGUAGGGAAACCGUUAAGUGUGCCGCCUGGGAAGUACGGUCGCAAGGCUAAAACUUAAAGGAAUUGGCGGGGGAGCACCACAAGGGGUGAAGCCUGCGGUUC